Molecule: long non-coding RNA, 169 nt
Filed under: Sus scrofa (pig)
Lineage: Eukaryota; Metazoa; Chordata; Mammalia; Artiodactyla; Suidae
Description: lncRNA (ENSSSCG00015009358.1)
Source: RNAcentral
UGCCCAGAGUGGCGUGUGGUUAACGCUUGGCCACAUUCCCUUCUUCGUCUUCUCUCUGUCUGAAUUACAGGUGUGGCACAGUCCUUAAACUGGAACAGAUCUCCCUCAGGAGAAGGCGGCACCCUGCCAAGACCACCAGCACCAGGAGCCGAGGGUGGAAGCAGCUGGG